This 254-nucleotide ribosomal RNA is filed under the name uncultured bacterium. RNAcentral describes it as "partial 16S ribosomal RNA". It matches the Rfam family "Bacterial small subunit ribosomal RNA", at positions 524 to 776 of the family's 1533-position model. The record is from RNAcentral.
UACGUAGGUGGCAAGCGUUGUCCGGGUUUAUUGGGUUUAAAGGACGCGUAGGCGGCCAGCACAAGUCAGUUGUGAAAUCUCCGAGCUUAACUCGGAAAGGUCAACUGAUACUGUGCGGCUAGAGUGCGGAAGGGGCAACUGGAAUUCUUGGUGUAGCGGUGAAAUGCGUAGAUAUCAAGAGGAACACCUGCGGCGAAGGCGGGUUGCUGGGCCGACACUGACGCUGAUGCGCGAAAGCUAGGGGAGCGAACGGG